CUUGCCCACCUCCUUCCCUUUGUCAGAAAAACCCUCAUGGCCCACAUUCUGUCCAGGAAUCUGUCUCUAAGAUCAGCCCAUGGGCUGUGGUCAGCUGCACCCCUCCAGUAAGGACCCCUUUGGGUGCCCAUCUGAGCCACCAAAAAUGAUGCGUGAUUUUCGCUGGGAAUUUGACUCCUUCAGUUCUUGGCACUGUGAAGGACUGCGUGGCAGGGAGACGAUGCAUAAAGAUGAGGUGGCAGGGAGACGGCACCUUUAUGGCUCCUUCUGCAGACCCAGUGUAAGGUCUGUGGGGAAAAAAACUUCCACCAGUCUAGAGGGCACCUGACACAUCGCAGAAAAGCAACAAACGUUUCUCCAGUAAAUACUUUUCAGAGCCUAUUAACCAUGAAUAAUAAGAUAUAAAUUAAUAUAGAAAGAACAUACUGGUCUCUUACUCUGUAUUUGAUACAUUUGGAGGAGUUUACAUGGAUUCUUUCUUUGAGGCUCACAAAAUUCUCCAAGAUAGGUAUGGUUAUUAUUACAAUUUUAUCAGAGAAGAUGAAGGAAGAGAGAAAUACAGGUAUAUCACAAGCAUGGCUAUGAGGGAGCCAAACCAGUGUGCAAACCCUGGCAAUCAGAUCCUGCCUCUGCUAAAUCGCCGCUUGGUGCG
This 652-nucleotide long non-coding RNA is filed under the name Chinchilla lanigera (long-tailed chinchilla). Its description in RNAcentral is "lncRNA (ENSCLAG00000027237.1)". The record is from RNAcentral. Lineage: Eukaryota; Metazoa; Chordata; Mammalia; Rodentia; Chinchillidae.